CGAUCUCAAUCAAUUCCUAGACGGUAUCCCUGGUUUCCACGGUAACUCUCUAAACUCCUCUGAGGAUCCUCCCUCCAUACUUAGUAGGCGGCAAGCCCGUCGUCAUUUCCAGGUGAUCGCUCCUUCUGUGGCGAUAGCUCAUCUGGAAGUGCCAAACGAUGCCUCUGCCUCUUCACCUCCUGAUGGCUAUACUGCCCUCUAUUCGGGUUUUGAGGACCUAGGGCUUCGGCUUCCUGCUUCCCCUUUUCUCUUAUCUUUUCUUUCGUAUACUGGUGUUGCUAUUUCCCAACUUUCUCCUUCUAGUUUAGACCGCGUCCUUUCGUUCGAACAUUUGUGUCACGAACUAGAUCUGAAGCCCUUCGAGCGUGUUUUCCGUCUGUUUUUUUCAAUCUCUC
RNAcentral lists this long non-coding RNA (395 nucleotides) under Zostera marina. RNAcentral's name for it is "long non-coding RNA (ZMAR_LNC001720)". Lineage: Eukaryota; Viridiplantae; Streptophyta; Magnoliopsida; Alismatales; Zosteraceae. The record is from RNAcentral.